AGAGUUUGAUCAUGGCUCAGGACGAACGCUGGCGGCGUGCCUAAUACAUGCAAGUCGAGCGAGCGGAACUAACAGAUUUACUUCUAUAAUGACGUUAGGAAAGCGAGCGGCGGAUGGGUGAGUAACACGUGGGGAACCUGCCCCAUAGUCUGGGAUACCACUUGGAAACAGGUGCUAAUACCGGAUAAGAAAGCAGAUCGCAUGAUCAGCUUUUAAAAGGCGGCGUAAGCUGUCGCUAUGGGAUGGCCCCGCGGUGCAUUAGCUAGUUGGUAAGGUAAAGGCUUACCAAGGCGAUGAUGCAUAGCCGAGUUGAGAGACUGAUCGGCCACAUUGGGACUGAGACACGGCCCCAACUCCUACGGGAGGCAGCAGUAGGGAAUCUUCCACAAUGGACGCAAGUCUGAUGGAGCAACGCCGCGUGAGUGAAGAAGGUUUUCGGAUCGUAAAGCUCUGUUGUUGGUGAAGAAGGAUAGAGGUAGUAACUGGCCUUUAUUUGACGGUAAUCAACCAGAAAGUCACGGCUAACUACGUGCCAGCAGCCGCGGUAAUACGUAGGUGGCAAGCGUUGUCCGGAUUUAUUGGGCGUAAAGCGAGCGCAGGCGGAAGAAUAAGUCUGAUGUGAAAGCCCUCGGCUUAACCGAGGAACUGCAUCGGAAACUGUUUUUCUUGAGUGCAGAAGAGGAGAGUGGAACUCCAUGUGUAGCGGUGGAAUGCGUAGAUAUAUGGAAGAACACCAGUGGCGAAGGCGGCUCUCUGGUCUGCAACUGACGCUGAGGCUCGAAAGCAUGGGUAGCGAACAGGAUUAGAUACCCUGGUAGUCCAUGCCGUAAACGAUGAGUGCUAAGUGUUGGGAGGUUUCCGCCUCUCAGUGCUGCAGCUAACGCAUUAAGCACUCCGCCUGGGGAGUACGACCGCAAGGUUGAAACUCAAAGGAAUUGACGGGGGCCCGCACAAGCGGUGGAGCAUGUGGUUUAAUUCGAAGCAACGCGAAGAACCUUACCAGGUCUUGACAUCUAGUGCCAUUUGUAGAGAUACAAAGUUCCCUUCGGGGACGCUAAGACAGGUGGUGCAUGGCUGUCGUCAGCUCGUGUCGUGAGAUGUUGGGUUAAGUCCCGCAACGAGCGCAACCCUUGUUAUUAGUUGCCAGCAUUAAGUUGGGCACUCUAAUGAGACUGCCGGUGACAAACCGGAGGAAGGUGGGGAUGACGUCAAGUCAUCAUGCCCCUUAUGACCUGGGCUACACACGUGCUACAAUGGGCAGUACAACGAGAAGCGAGCCUGCGAAGGCAAGCGAAUCUCUGAAAGCUGUUCUCAGUUCGGACUGCAGUCUGCAACUCGACUGCACGAAGCUGGAAUCGCUAGUAAUCGCGGAUCAGCACGCCGCGGUGAAUACGUUCCCGCGCCUUGUACACACCGCCCGUCACACCAUGGGAGUCUGCAAUGCCCAAAGCCGGUGGCCUAACCUUCGGGAAGGAGCCGUCUAAGGCAGGGCAGAUGACUGGGGUGAAGUCGUAACAAGGUAGCCGUAGGAGAACCUGCGGCUGGAUCACCUCCUU
This 1556-nucleotide ribosomal RNA is filed under the name uncultured bacterium. RNAcentral describes it as "bacterial SSU rRNA". It matches the Rfam family "Bacterial small subunit ribosomal RNA". The record is from RNAcentral.